AAUAAAAGUUAAUUCUAGCUUUGAUAUUUAUUUAAAAUUUAUUGUUUAUAAAAAUUUUUGUAUAAUAAAUAAUAAAAUUUUAAAAAUUUUAUUAUAUAUUUAUAUUUAUUAUAGAAUAUAAAAUUAAAUAAUUAAAGAAAUUUAGAUUUAGUAAUAUUUAAAAUUAUUGAUUAAUUUUGUGCCAGCAAUCGCGGUUAUACUAAAAAUAAGUUUAAAUAUUAAUUUUAUUAAUUAAUAAUAAAUAAUUAAUUUUUUUAAUUUAAAUUGAAAUUUAUUAGGUUAAAUUUUUAAAUUUUAAUUAAUUUAAUAUUUUUAAUUUUUAUGAAGUUUAAAAAAUAAUUUAUUAAACUAGGAUUAGAUACCCUAUUAUAUUAAUUAAAAAAAUUUAAAAUAAAGUAGUAUAAGUUAUAGUCUUAAAACUUAAAGAAUAUGGCGGUAUUUUAUUCUAUUUAGAGGAACCUGUUUAUUAAUUGAUUAUCCACAAAUAAUUUUACUUAACUUAUUAAAUUUAUAUAUUGUUGUUAUAAAAAUAUUUUUUAGAAAUUAAAAAUUUUAAUAUUUUUAUAAAAAAUUAUAUCAAAUCAUCAUGUAGUUUAUAGUUAAGAAUUUAAUGGGUUAUAAUAAAAAAAAUUUUUGGAAAAUUAUGAGAAUAAAUAAUUUUGAAAUUAGAUUUAAUAGUAAUUUAAUUUAAUUAAUUUUAAUGAUAUAAGUUCUAAAAUAUGCACAUAUUGCCCGUCAUUUUCAUUUUAAAUUGAAACAAGUCGUAACAAAGUAGAAGUACUGGAAAGUGUUUCUAGAAAGAC
RNAcentral lists this non-coding RNA (803 nucleotides) under Thremma gallicum. The record is from RNAcentral. Lineage: Eukaryota; Metazoa; Arthropoda; Insecta; Trichoptera; Uenoidae.